GCGCGGUUAGCUCAGUGGUAGAGCACUACAAUGACACUGUAGGGGUCACAGGUUCAAAUCCUGUACCGCGCACCA
RNAcentral lists this transfer RNA (75 nucleotides) under bacterium. Its description in RNAcentral is "tRNA-Val". It matches the Rfam family "tRNA". Rfam says of the family: Transfer RNA (tRNA) molecules are approximately 80 nucleotides in length. RNAcentral also lists the same sequence under 3 other names. The record is from RNAcentral.